GAUAUGGCUCAGGAUGAACGCUAGCGACAGGCUUAACACAUGCAAGUCGAGGGGCAGCACAGGUAGCAAUACCGGGUGGCGACCGGCGCACGGGUGAGUAACGCGUAUGCAACUUACCUAUCAGAGGGGGAUAACCCGGCGAAAGUCGGACUAAUACCGCAUGAAGCAGGGGUCCCGCAUGGGGAUAUUUGCUAAAGAUUCAUCGCUGAUAGAUAGGCAUGCGUUCCAUUAGG
Molecule: ribosomal RNA, 233 nt
Filed under: uncultured bacterium
Lineage: Bacteria
Description: partial 16S ribosomal RNA
Rfam family: Bacterial small subunit ribosomal RNA
Source: RNAcentral